CCCUUAGAUGUUCGGGGCCGCACGCGCGCUACACUGAAGGAAUCAGCACGUCUUUCUCCUUGUCCGAAAGGACUGGGUAACCCGCUGAACCUCCUUCGUGCCAGGGAUUGGGGCUUGUAAUUCUUCCCCAUGAACGAGGAAUUCCCAGUAAGCGCGAGUCAUAAGCUCGCGUUGAUUACGUCCCUGCCCUUUGUACACACCGCCCGUCGCUACUACCGAUUGGAUGGUUUAGUGAGAUCCUCGGAUUGGUCCCGGCGCGGCCUCUGGUCGUGCCGGAGUGCCGAAAAGAAUGUCGAACUUGAUCAUCUAGAGGAAGUAAAAGUCGUAACA
This 330-nucleotide ribosomal RNA is filed under the name uncultured eukaryote. RNAcentral's name for it is "partial 18S ribosomal RNA". It matches the Rfam family "Eukaryotic small subunit ribosomal RNA", at positions 1470 to 1796 of the family's 1831-position model. The record is from RNAcentral.